UGGGGAAUAUUGCACAAUGGGCGAAAGCCUGAUGCAGCAACGCCGCGUGCGGGAUGACGGCCUUCGGGUUGUAAACCGCUUUCAGCAGGGACGAAGGGUUUCUGACGGUACCUGCAGAAGAAGCACCGGCUAACUACGUGCCAGCAGCCGCGGUGAUACGUAGGGUGCGAGCGUUGUCCGGAAUUAUUGGGCGUAAAGAGCUCGUAGGUGGUUUGUUGCGUCGGAAGUGAAAACUCAGGGCUUAACCCUGAGCCUGCUUUCGAUACGGGCAGACUAGAGGAAGGUAGGGGAGAACGGAAUUCCUGGUGGAGCGGUGGAAUGCGCAGAUAUCAGGAGGAACACCGGUGGCGAAGGCGGUUCCCUGGACCUUUCCUGACGCUGAGGAGCGAAAGCGUGGGGAGCAAACAGGCUUAGAUACCCUGGUAGUCCACGCCGUAAACGGUGGGCACUAGGUGUGGGGACAUUCCACGUUCUCCGUGCCGUAGCUAACGCAUUAAGUGCCCCGCCUGGGGAGUACGGCCGCAAGGCUAAACUUAAAUGAAUUGACGGGGUCAUGAGCUGUUU
This 564-nucleotide ribosomal RNA is filed under the name uncultured bacterium. RNAcentral describes it as "partial 16S ribosomal RNA". It matches the Rfam family "Bacterial small subunit ribosomal RNA", at positions 355 to 931 of the family's 1533-position model. The record is from RNAcentral.